GGAGGGGUUCCCGAGUGGCCAAAGGGAACAGACUGUAAAUCUGUCAGCGUAAGCUUUCGGAGGUUCAAAUCCUCCCCCCUCCACCA
This 86-nucleotide transfer RNA is filed under the name Desulfonatronum thiosulfatophilum. Its description in RNAcentral is "tRNA_Tyr_GTA". It matches the Rfam family "tRNA". From Rfam's summary of the family: Transfer RNA (tRNA) molecules are approximately 80 nucleotides in length. Their secondary structure includes four short double-helical elements and three loops (D, anti-codon, and T loops). RNAcentral also lists the same sequence under 4 other names. Lineage: Bacteria; Pseudomonadati; Thermodesulfobacteriota; Desulfovibrionia; Desulfovibrionales; Desulfonatronaceae. The record is from RNAcentral.